RNAcentral lists this ribosomal RNA (253 nucleotides) under uncultured bacterium. Its description in RNAcentral is "partial 16S ribosomal RNA". It matches the Rfam family "Bacterial small subunit ribosomal RNA", at positions 524 to 776 of the family's 1533-position model. The record is from RNAcentral.
UACGAAGGUGGCAAGCGUUACUCGGAAUUACUAGGCGUAAAGGGCAGGUAGGCGGUUUGAUAAGUCUAUUGUGAAAGCUCCCGGCUUAACUGGGAGAGGUCAACAGAUACUGUCGAACUUGAGUAUGGGAGAGGGUACUGGAAUUCCUGGUGUAGCGGUGAAAUGCGCAGAGAUCAGGAGGAACACCGAUGGCGAAAGCAGGUACCUGGACCAUUACUGACGCUCAGCUGCGAAAGCUAGGGGAGCAAACAGG